GACGAACGCUGGCGGCGUGCUUAACACAUGCAAGUCGAACGGAGUGGCGAACGGGAGAGUAACACGUGGGUGAUCUGCCUUGCACUUCGGGCUAAGCCUGGGAAACUGGGUCUAAUACCGGAUAGUGCAAGAUGAGAUCGCGGCCUAUCAGCUUGUGGGUGGGGUAAUGGCCUACCAAGGCGUCGUCGGGUAGCCGGCCUGAGAGGGUGUACGGCCAAAGUGGGACUGAGAUACGGCCCAGACCCCUACGGGAGGCAGCAGUGGGGAAUAUUGCACAAUGGGCGGAAGCCGUAUGCAGCGACGCCGCGUGGGGGAUGAAGGCCUUCGGGUUGUAAACUCCUUUCGACAGGGACGCGGUACCUGUAUAAGAAGCACCGGCUAACUACGUGCCAGCAGCCGCGGUAAUUC
This 408-nucleotide ribosomal RNA is filed under the name uncultured bacterium. RNAcentral's name for it is "partial 16S ribosomal RNA". It matches the Rfam family "Bacterial small subunit ribosomal RNA", at positions 28 to 526 of the family's 1533-position model. The record is from RNAcentral.